This is a long non-coding RNA of Myotis daubentonii (Daubenton's bat), 6587 nucleotides long. RefSeq lists it as uncharacterized. The record is from RefSeq and is a predicted model, not a curated record. Lineage: Eukaryota; Metazoa; Chordata; Mammalia; Chiroptera; Vespertilionidae.
CCGCGGCCCCGGCGGCUCCUCCGCGCUCGGACCGCCGCCGGGAUCGGGGUUCCUGUCGUGGGGCGGCGAGGCUGUGGGGAGAACAGAGGAGAGGCCGGGAGGCUGAGGCAGGGGGGCUGGCAGAGGAGAAUCGAGCGUUUGGGAGUGGAUUUUUAUCUGGCUUCUUGGACACCACUUACUGGCGAACUACAGCUAGGAGAGAUUUUUGAGGGCCGGCUGGGAGGCAGAGGCCGCUGGUGCUCGGGUACAAAGGUGAACAAACACCUUCCCAGGUCUCUAGUGAUGGCUCAUCUCCUGCAGAAAGGUGAGUCGCUGCUGAGGGCUGAAUUCUGAAACCGUCCUGGGCUAAGGAACCUCCUCCUCAGAUUGCACCGAAACAAUAUUCACCGAGGGCAGAAGCAGGCUCAGCCUCGUAAACCCACAGCCGGCCCCGUGUGUAUCUCCUUUCAAUGGCUUCAAACCCAAAAGGAAGGGGACGUGCAUUGAGAUGAAGGCGUUUUCUCAGAAGCCUCUGAGGCAACAGUGAGAUGCAGCGGCUGGAAGAAACAGCCAACUUCUGCUGCACUAACAUCUCACGUCUCAGAAAUAAUAGUGCGCGUGGACUGACCAGAUUGGGGGGGGGGGUCGAGUUUUCCAGAAAGACACUGGACAGCUAGAAGGAGAACAGUGGCGUGGUGAGAGGGCUGGACUCCAUCGUGUUUACGUUCUUCUGGAGGAACGCCCGAUUGGCAGCCUAGACGCACAAGAACAUUUGCUGUGUUUUGUGGAAGAACCCGUCGGUUAAAGUGAUGAAGGGACAAGUUCAACUCCCAUCGAGGAAAAUAUUGUAACGACCGACCGAGAUCUCCAAGAGAGCAGACGGAAGGGCGGUGACUGAGCUCCUGGCCGUUGGGGGCGCUCAGAGAGAGCAUCGUUCAGAGAUGCUGUGGAGUGUCUCCUGCAUGAGGUGCAUUGUGGUUUGAGGGAUACAGUGAGGGCAGGGUCCCCUGGAGAGGAGCUGUUUGUCUAGCCACAGGCUGGCAGUAUCUUGGCGGGGGCCCCUAUGUUCCGUAGUCUGGUUCUCAGCUUUCCUCGGCUUGUAACCCAGAGGAUGUCAAUGGAUCAGAUUCAUGGAUUGACUCCUGUUAACCAAACUCGUCAAAAGCAGAUGUAUAAACCAGAAUGUUAUUUAUUAAUAGGCAAUGGAGGGGCUAUAGUAAAGGUGAUUCCAAGGUCUAAUGAUUAAUCGGAAGGUUGUGUUUUGAGCACUAAAUUGAAUUACAGCUGAAGGUAGGCUAAUCUUUCUCAUUCAGGUUUGAGAGGAGGACUACACCUCUCCAGUCACUGCAAGGCUUGAGUACACCAGUCAGUGUCUCCAACCUCCGGCCAGGACCACAGAAACUCGGUGAAAUUCGUGCUUUUGGGGGCCCAGUUUAUCGAUGUCCUGAGCUCCCCUUCUUUCACAUGUUCUUUCUUUAAGUCAAGUGAAAUAGAAUUAAUUAGGCUUCAGCUUUCUCAGUUACAACCACAUCUCAGACAUACCUGCUGGAGAUUAUAUUCAAGCCACGCAGAUCCUAUUUUAGGUGUUGGUGCUCCAGAAACUCUUCUGUUGCAGGAAUGUUGUGAAUGCCCCAAAGCCCACACCCUGCAAUGUCGAGGCAGAGACCAGCUGCACGGCGCCCUCAUCGCCUCCGGGCUCCCAGGUGGCACCAGCCUGGAAGACUUGCAGGGUCCAGGGCUGGGCAGCAGCUGGCUUGCAACUUCCGAACCACACAAACGGUGGGAGGCACAAAGAGCUCAGAGACGGAUCUAUGUAAGCCAGAAUGCCACUUACUAAUUUACAAGAGAUCAGCCCAGGCAAGUGUGCAUGCUCAUGUCAGCCUGGCUGACAUUCUCUUCCUAUACACAAGCCACGUGGGAAGCCAAAUUAUCAUCACGAUGCUUGGUAAUAUAAACCAGAGCACAAGGAGUUUGUCAUAUGAUUGGAAUGUUUAAUGGUAUUGGUUUCUCAUAGCCUAAUGUGUCCAUCUCCAUAAUAGGUGUGUGUGUGUGUGUGUGUGUGUGUGUGUGUGUGUGUGUGGCCGGUGGCAGAAUCCAAGAGCCUCUUUCCUGCCAAUUUCUGGUGUUUCCAGUGCAUCUUUCUGCUUAGCAAAUAUUUGUUGAGCGUCUACUAUGUGUUGUCUAAGAAAGAAUUUGUGCCAGCUUCCUGGCAUGAAGCUCCUAAAACCCUUGGAAUUUCCCAAGUGAUAGAAGGGUCUUUGUUAUUCAUGAGCUUCCUGGAGCACACCGGAGUUUAUGCUAAUGAGGGGACUCUUGGAGAGAUCCCUUUGAUAGCUUCAGGAUGGGAGCUGGGACCAGAAAGAACAACCCUGCAAUUAGAUGGUCAAGACUUUGAGCCAACGGGACCUCCAAGGAGGGGAGAGAGGCUGGAGAUUGGGUUCACUCGGGUGGGCAGUGAUUUAACCCAUCCUGCCUACCAGCAAACCCCAGUGAAAAGUCAGUGGCGCUCGGUGAACACAUUAAUGUGUUGGGAAGGUGCUGCACCCUGAUCCAUGGAGAGAGAACAAGGCAGUGUUGCCAUUGGGCCCUCCCAGAUCUCACCACAUCUGUCUCUUCAUUUGGCUGCCCCAGAUCUGUACCCUUUACAAUAAAACUGGUCGUUAAGUAUAGCACCUUCCUGAAUCCCGUGAGCCAUGGUAGAGAACCAUCAAAUCUGAGGGGGGUCGUGAGAACCCCCAGGUUUGUUGCCAGUUUUUAUUUAAUUAAAAUUGUUAAAGUAUUAUUACAAACUCUUUGUGAACGUGAAAUCUCAUAACUGCAUAACACGUUCUCUUUCAGACAAACCAGAAUUUGGAAUGUUUCAGUUUUUGCCAUUGUCAAACUUCCUGUGUCUCCACCAACAGAGAAAUGGCCGGCUGUCGCGUGACGUAGUGGAAUGCUGUAGAGCAGGUACUAUUGACAUUUUGGGCAGAUAUUCUUCGUUGUGCGUUGUAGGACUUUGACCGGUAUGCCCGGCCUUAUCCACCGCAUACCGAUAGCACCCUGCCUCCAGCUGUGACAACCCACACUGUCUCCAAAUGUCUCCUGGGGGCAAAAUCACCAACCAUAUUCAUUGCUAAUACAGCAAUGAAAACAAAUGAGCCGCAAUUACAAAAGCAAAAUAGAGAUGAAUCUCAUAAAGAUGAAGUCAAGUAACAAAAAGACCCAUUUCCUUUGUAUAGGGCUCACAAAUAGGCAAAACUAAUCUAUGGAGUUACAAGUCAGGAUAAUGGUUAUUCUUGGGAGUCGGUCUUGACUCGAAAGAAUACUGGGGGAGGAGAGUCUCUGGUGCUGAAGUUUUCUAGAGUUUGACUUACUAAUUUUUGAUGUUAAAUAAGACGUAAAAUUAGUUUAUAUAGUCAAAGAUGUCAUAUAUGCCCUAGUCGAUUUGGCUCAGUGGAUAGAGCAUUGGCCUGUGGGCUGAAGGGUCCAGUCAAGGGCAUAUGCCCACCUUGCAGGAUUCGAUCUUCAGUAGGGGGCAUGCAGGAGGCCAAUCAGUGGUUCUUUCUCAUCAUUGAUGUUUCUCUCUCUCUCCCUCUCCCUUCCUCUCUGAAACCAAUAAAUAUAUAUUAAAAAAAAAAAAGAUGUUGCCCUAGCUGGCUUGGCUCAGUGGAUAGAGCGUCAGCCUGUGGACUGAAGGGUCCCAGGUUUGAUUCCAGCCAAGGGCACAUGCCUGGGUUGCGGGCUCAAUCCCCAGUGGGGGGUAUGCAGGAGGCAGCCGAUCAAUGAUUCUCUCUCAUCAUUGAUGUUUCUAUCUCUCUCUCCUUCUCCCUUCCUCUCUGAAACCAAUAAAGAAAUAUAUAUUUUUUAAAAAGAUGUCAUAAAAUUUAUGACAUCUUUCAUCCCUUUAUAAAAGCUUAAAUUUAUACAAGUAAUAUAUAUUCAUUCCAGAAUUAGAUAUUACAGAUAAGAAAAAAUAAAAAAUUAAAUGUAAUUCUAUUGUCUAGAAAAAAACUAUUAUAAAUAUUCUGGUGUGCCCAUUUUCAGACUUUUUCUACACAUAUAUGUACAUGUAAAUAUGUUACAUAAUUUCUUUCUGUAAAAGUGGGAUCGUGGUGUACACAUAUUUAUUAUUGAUUUGAGAGAGAGAAAGGGAGAGACUGAAAGAGAGAGAGACACAGAGACAGCAAGAAACAUGGAUGUGUAAGAGACACGGCGGUUGGUUGCCUCCUGCCCCGCCUGGCCUGGGCUGGGGAUAGAGCCUGCAGUUACAUGCCCGUGCCUGGAAAUCAAACUCUUGACCCUUUGGUGUGCAGGCCAAUGUUCUAACUGGCCAGGGCGACAUGUUUGGGGUUUUUUUGUUUGUUUGUUUUUAAUUUUAAUGAUUUGUCAGCAUCUUUCCAUUUCAAUAAACACAGGAUUCCAUAAUCGUUUUUAUGGACUGAAUUCCUCAACGUUGAAUUGCUGAGUCAAAGGAUAGGAUGCUUCAGUGUUUUUGCUGCGUGCUGCUGAGCGGUCCCCAGACAUGCUGUGUCAGUGCACACAGAGCGGCAUUCAGCGCAGGCAGCACCGAGGCCUCUCUCCACAUCGGGGUGGGAAACAGCGGUGUUUGAGCUCCUUGCUGUUCUGAAGAGGGUUUUUUUUUUUUUUUAAUUUCCAUGUAAAUUCUUUUUAAAAAUAUUUUUUCAAUUACAGUUGCCACUCAAUAUUGUGUUAUAUUGGUUUCAGGUGUAUAGCAUAGGGGUUAGACAUUUACAUAAUUGACACAGUGAUUCCCCGGGAUAAGUCCAGUCCCCACCUGGCACCAUAUAGCAUUAUUACAAUGUUAUUGACUGUAUUCCCUGUGCUGUACUCUACAGCCUCGUGACUGUUUUGUAGCUGCCAAUUUGUGCUUCUUACUCCUUCCACCUUUUUCACCCUGAAGAGGUUUUUUUAAGAGGUUUCUCUUUAAUUCCCCGUACCCCCCCCCUUUUUUUAUUGCGGUUGAUAUUGUACACUUUUUUUAUAUAGAUUUAUUGGCCAUUUAGAUUUCUUUUAAUUUCCUGUUCAUAUUCCUUGUCUAUUUAUUAGGAUGUUCAUAUUGUCCUUUAUGAGCUUAAGAACUAUUUAUAGCCUAAGAUUUUUAACUCUUUGUCCAUUAUACAGCAUGGGGCAAAAGUAGGUUUACAGUUGUUUAUACAGAAAAUAAUACAUUAAUUACUAAAUAAUAACACAAGAAUAAACUCUAUCAAGAACUCACAAGACCUACUUUUGCCCCACCCUGUAUAUAUUGCAAAUAUUUCUUCACAGAAUUUCAUUUGACUUGUAACUUCUUAGCAAUUUUUUUGUCCAGAGAACGUUUACAUUUCACAUAGUAAAAUCCAUCAAUCUCUUGUUUAACAAUGUCCCUGGUGUCUUUGUCAUGCUUAGAAAGUCUUCCUCCAUCUCAAAAUAUAUAUAAACCUAUAUUUUUCUAGUGCUUGUGGUAAAAUCACGAUUCCAUCUGGAAUUUAUUUUGGUAUGUAGUAUGAGGUAAGAAUCUAAUUUUAAUUUUUUCUCAAAUAACUAGGAAGUUGUCUAAUCCAAUUGCCAAAUAAAUUCAUCCUUUCCCAACAUUGAGAUGUCACCCUUAACAUAAAGCAGCGAUUUUCAACCAGCGUGUCACAAGAAUUUUUAAAACAUGAAUACCUGACUACUUAAUUACAGGCGUUGGCCUGUCUUCCCUCAGAUUGUCAAAUAAAAAAAUGACAACAGCCAACACAACAAUAGCCGUCCAAUGUGAAUGAAUCAAAAUUAUACCUUUUUUUUGUCAGAUCGGCAAAAAACAUAUUUUUUGAUGUGCCGCAGAAUGUUAGUUUAUGUGUGCCAUGAGAUGAAAUAGAUUGAAAAUCACUGACAUGUAUGUCCACAGUGGGGCAUGGUUAUAGUUAUCAUGUUGUUAUAACAUACUACAGGCCUAGUGCACGAAAUUCAUGCAAGGGGCUCAGCCCUAGCAGCUGCGCUGGCUUGCCUUGGCCCUCUAAGCCCCAGCUUCGUCCGGAAGGUCAUCUGGAAGGUCGUCUGGCUAUCUGGCCUAAUUAGCAUAUUACGCUUUUCUUAUUAUAGAUAUUUCUUUGAAAAAUUUGUUUUCUAUAUGAUAGUGUUUGCUUUUCUUUCAAGUUAACUUUAUAAUUAUUCUGCUAAAUUUAAGAAUCCUGGCCCUAACCGGUUUGGCUCAGUGGAUAGAGCAGUGGUCUAUCCACUGUGGGUCGCGACCCUUUUGGGGGUCAAACGACGCUUUCACAGGGGUCGCCUAAGACCAUCGGAAAACACAUAUAUAAUUACAUAUUGUUUUUGUGAUUAAUCACUAUGCUUUAAUUAUGUUCAAUUUGUAACAAUGAAAUUGGGGGUCACCACAACAUGAGGAACUGUAUUAAAGGGUCGCAGCAUUAGGAAGGUUGAGAACCACUGGGAUAGAGCAUCAGCCUGCGGACUGAAGGGUCGAAGAUUCGAUUCCAGUCAAGGGCACGUACCUUGGUUACCUGCACAUCCCCAGUAGGGAGUGUGCAGGAGGCAGCUGAUCGAUUGCCGGGGUCCAACCCCAGCAGGUCCAGGGGUUCCCAAAGGUGUGGACGGAGUCAGCGAAGAAGGAAUGACACGGAGACAGUGUU